RNAcentral lists this ribosomal RNA (497 nucleotides) under uncultured bacterium. Its description in RNAcentral is "partial 16S ribosomal RNA". It matches the Rfam family "Bacterial small subunit ribosomal RNA", at positions 28 to 507 of the family's 1533-position model. The record is from RNAcentral.
GGUGAACGCUGGCGGCGUGCCUAAUACAUGCAAGUCGAGCGAACAGACGAGGAGCUUGCUCCUCUGACGUUAUCGGCGGACGGGUGCGUAACACGUGUAUAACCUACCUAUAAGACUGGGAUAACUUCGGGAAACCGUAUCUAAUACCGGAUAAUAUAUUGAACCGCAUUGUUCAAUAGUUAAAUACGGUUUUUCUUUCACUUAUAGAUUGAUCCGCGCCCCAUUCGCUAGUUGGUAAGGUAACGGCUUACCAAGGCAACGAUGCGAAGCCGACCUGAGAGGGUGAUCGGCCACACUGGAACUGAGACACGGUCCAGACUCCUACGGGGGGAAGCAGUAGGGAAUCUUACGCAAUGGACGAAAGCCUGACGGAGCAACGCCGCGUGAGUGAUGAAGGUCUUAGGAUCGUAAAACUAUGUUAUUAGGGAAGAACAAAUGUGUAAGUAACUAUGCACGUAUUGACGGUACCUAAUCAGAAAGCCACGGCUAACUACGUG